Long non-coding RNA from Myotis davidii, 126 nucleotides. RefSeq lists it as uncharacterized. The record is from RefSeq and is a predicted model, not a curated record. NCBI's taxonomy places the organism in Eukaryota, Metazoa, Chordata, Mammalia, Chiroptera, Vespertilionidae. The transcript has 4 exons.
UUAGCUUUUAUCUUUGUAACAAUGUUUCAACCUGCAAGCUCAGAGGCGGCAGCUGCAGGCAGGGAACGUUGGAGUCCUCCGUCACUGAAGCAAGCAAGCCUCAUGUUAACUUCAAGCUGCCUGGCU